GACGAACGCUGGCGGCGUGCUUAACACAUGCAAGUCGAACGGAAAGGCCCUGCUUUUGUGGGGUGCUCGAGUGGCGAACGGGUGAGUAACACGUGAGUAACCUGCCCUUGACUUUGGGAUAACUUCAGGAAACUGGGGCUAAUACCGGAUAGGAGCUCCUGCUGCAUGGUGGGGGUUGGAAAGUUUCGGCGGUUGGGGAUGGACUCGCGGCUUAUCAGCUUGUUGGUGGGGUAGUGGCUUACCAAGGCUUUGACGGGUAGCCGGCCUGAGAGGGUGACCGGCCACAUUAGGACUGAGAUACGGCCCAGACUCCUACGGGAGGCAGCAGUGGGGAAUAUUGCACAAUGGGCGGAAGCCUGAUGCAGCAACGCCGCGUGCGGGAUGACGGCCUUCGGGUUGUAAACCGUUUUCGCCUGUGACGAAGCGUGAGUGACGGUAAUGGGUAAAGAAGCACCGGCUAACUACGUG
This 468-nucleotide ribosomal RNA is filed under the name uncultured bacterium. Its description in RNAcentral is "partial 16S ribosomal RNA". It matches the Rfam family "Bacterial small subunit ribosomal RNA", at positions 28 to 507 of the family's 1533-position model. The record is from RNAcentral.